RNAcentral lists this ribosomal RNA (1260 nucleotides) under metagenome. RNAcentral's name for it is "bacterial LSU rRNA". It matches the Rfam family "Bacterial large subunit ribosomal RNA", at positions 1676 to 2925 of the family's 2925-position model. The record is from RNAcentral.
GUAUUCUAAGGCGCUUGAGAGAACCCUGGAGAAGGAACUCGGCAAAUUGACACCGUAACUUCGGAAGAAGGUGUGCCUUUAGUAGGUGAACCAUUUACUUGGGGAGCCCAAUGAGGCCGCAGAGAAUCGGUGGCUGCAACUGUUUAUUAAAAACACAGCACUCUGCAAAGACGAAAGUCGACGUAUAGGGUGUGACUCCUGCCCGGUGCUGGAAGAUUAAAUGAUGGGGUGCAAGCUCUUGACUGAAGUCCCAGUAAACGGCGGCCGUAACCAUAACGGUCCUAAGGUAGCGAAAUUCCUUGUCGGGUAAGUUCCGACCUGCACGAAUGGAGUAAUGAUGGCCACACUGUCUCCUCCAGAGACUCAGCGAAGUUGAAAUGUUUGUGAUGAUGCAAUCUCCCCGCGGAAAGACGGAAAGACCCCAUGAACCUUUACUGUAGCUUUACAUUGGACUUUGAACAGAUCUGUGUAGGAUAGGUGGGAGGCUUUGAAGAGUGGACGCUAGUUUGCUUGGAGCCAACGUUGAAAUACCACCUUGGUGUGUUUGAGGUUCUAACCUUGGUCCCUUAUCGGGAUUGGGGACAGUGUAUGGUGGGCAGUUUGACUGGGGCGGUCUCCUCCCAAAGUGUAACGGAGGAGUUCGAAGGUACGCUAAAUACGGUCGGAAAUCGUGUUGAUAGUGCAUUGGCAUAAGCGUGCUUGACUGCGAGACUGACAAGUCGAGCAGGUACGAAAGUGGGACAAAGUGAUCCGGUGGUUCUGUAUGGAAGGGCCAUCGCUCAACGGAUAAAAGGUACUCUGGGGAUAACAGGCUGAUACCGCCCAAGAGUUCAUAUCGACGGCGGUGUUUGGCACCUCGAUGUCGGCUCAUCUCAUCCUGGGGCUGUAGCCGGUCCCAAGGGUAUGGCUGUUCGCCAUUUAAAGAGGUACGUGAGCUGGGUUUAAAACGUCGUGAGACAGUUUGGUCCCUAUCUUCCGUGGGCGCUGCAAGAUUGAGAGAGCCUGCUCCUAGUACGAGAGGACCGGAGUGGACGCACCUCUGGUGUAUCGGUUGUCACGCCAGUGGCAUCGCCGAGUAGCUAAGUGCGGAAGAGAUAACCGCUGAAAGCAUCUAAGCGGGAAACUCGUCUCAAGAUGAGUCUUGCCGGGGCCUAGAGCCCCCUGAAGGGUCGUUCGAGACCAGGACGUUGAUAGGCUGGGUGUGGAAGCGCGGUAACGCGUUAAGCUAACCAGUACUAAUUGCCCGUGAGGCUUGACCCU